Molecule: ribosomal RNA, 403 nt
Filed under: Verrucomicrobiota bacterium
Lineage: Bacteria; Pseudomonadati; Verrucomicrobiota
Description: Verrucomicrobia bacterium partial 16S ribosomal RNA
Rfam family: Bacterial small subunit ribosomal RNA
Source: RNAcentral
UGGGGAAUUUUGCACAAUGGGGGAAACCCUGAUGCAGCGACGCCGCGUGAUUUAGAAGGCCUUCGGGUUGUAAAAAUCUUUUGUAUGGGAAGAAAAUGACAGUACCAUACGAAUAAGGACCGGCUAAUUACGUGCCAGCAGCCGCGGUAAUACGUAGGUGGCGAGCGUUAUCCGGAUUUACUGGGUGUAAAGGGCGUGCAGGCGGGCUGAUAAGUCAGAUGUGAAAUCCCCGAGCUUAACUCGGGAACUGCAUCUGAUACUGUUGGUCUUGAGUGCUGGAGAGGAUAGUGGAAUUCCUAGUGUAGCGGUAAAAUGCGCAGAUAUUAGGAGGAACACCAGUGGCGAAGGCGGCUAUCUGGACAGUAACUGACGCUGAGGCGCGAAAGCGUGGGUAGCAAACAGG